This 1164-nucleotide long non-coding RNA is filed under the name Oreochromis niloticus (Nile tilapia). Its description in RNAcentral is "lncRNA (ENSONIG00000042495.1)". Lineage: Eukaryota; Metazoa; Chordata; Actinopteri; Cichliformes; Cichlidae. The record is from RNAcentral.
AUGUUUAACCUGAGUAGCGAAAGACCACGGGGGUCUGAAAACGAUGUGCCGGGAGCUGUUGUUGCUGGCUCUAGUGACCCUCGACCUCCCAGUCAGCUAUCGAGCUGGUGGGUAACACAUGUCUCCGAAAACGUUGGAGCACUUUUACAAAUAUGUGAUGUCUUGAUAAACCAAGCAGAUUCCUUCUUCCUCCUUCUUCCUCCUUCUUACUUCUUCUUCUUUCUUCUUCUUCCUUCUACUUCUUCUUCUUCUUCGUCUUUCUCCUUCUUUCGUCUUUCUCCUUCUUUCGUCUUUCUCUUCUUCUUCUUUCUUCUUCCUUCUUCUUCUUCUUCUUUCUUCUUUCUUCUUCUUCUUCCUUCUUCUUUCUUCUUUCUUCUUCUUCUUCUUUCUUCUUUCUUCUUCUUCUUCUUUCUUCUUUCUUCUUCUUCUUCUUCUUUCUUCUUUCUUCUUCUUCUUUCUUCUUCUUUCUUCUUCUUCUUUCUUCUUCUUUCUUCUUUCUUUCUUCUUUCUUCUUUCUUCUUUCUUCUUCUUCUUUCUUCUUCUUCUUUUUCUUCUUUUCUUCUUUCUUCUUCUUCUUUUCUUCUUUCUUCUUUCUUCUUCUUUCUUUCUUCUUUCUUCUUCUUUCUUUCUUCUUCUUCUUUCUUCUUCUUCUUCUUCUUUCUUCUUCUUCUUCUUCUUCUUCUUCUCUUCUUCUUCUUCUUCUUUCUUUCUUUCUUUCUUUCUUUCUUUCUUUCUUUCUUUCUUUCUUUCUUUCUUCUUCUUCUUUUUCUUCUUUCUUCUUCUUCUUUCUUUCUUCUUCUUCUUUUUUCUUUCUUUCUUUCUUUCUUCUUUCUUUCUUCUUUCUUUCUUCUUCUUUCUUUCUUCUUCUUUCUUUCUUCUUUCUUUCUUUCUUCUUUCUUUCUUCUUUCUUUCUUUCUUCUUCUUUCUUUCUUUCUUCUUUCUUUCUUUCUUCUUUCUUUCUUCUUCUUUCUUUCUUUCUUCUUUCUUUCUUCUUCUUUCUUUCUUUCUUCUUCUUUCUUUCUUCUUUCUUUCUUCUUUCUUUCUUCUUCUUCUUUCUUUCUUCUUCUUUCUUUCUUCUUUCUUCUUCUUCUUCUUUCUUCUUCUUCCUUCUACUUCUUCUUCUUCGUCUUUCUCCUUCUUUCUUCUUCUUCUUUCUUCUUCUAA